RNAcentral lists this ribosomal RNA (253 nucleotides) under uncultured bacterium. RNAcentral's name for it is "partial 16S ribosomal RNA". It matches the Rfam family "Bacterial small subunit ribosomal RNA", at positions 524 to 776 of the family's 1533-position model. The record is from RNAcentral.
UACGUAGGGGCCGAGCGUUGUCCGGAGUUAUUGGGCGUAAAGCGCGCGCAGGCGGCCUCGCGCGCCCGACGUGAAAGCCCCCGGCUUAACCGGGGAGGGUCGUUGGGGACGGCGGGGCUUGAGGGCGGGAGAGGGUGGUGGAAUUCCCGGUGUAGUGGUGAAAUGCGUAGAGAUCGGGAGGAACACCCGUGGCGAAGGCGGCAUCCUGGACCGGCAUUGACGCUGAGGAGCGAAAGCCAGGGGAGCAAACGGG